UGCUAACGUUUUCCAGGUGGUUGCUAAGUGGUUGGUAGGCAGUUGCUAACGUUUUCCAGGUGGUUGCUAAGUGGUUGCUAGGCAGUUGCUAACAUUUUCCAGGUGGUUGCUAGGCAGUUGCUAAGUUGUUGCUAGGCAGUUGCUAACUUUUUCCAGGUGGUUGCUAAGUGGUUGCUAGGCAGUUGCUAAUGUUUUCCAGGUGGUUGCUAAGUGGUUGCUAGGCAGUUGCUAACGUAUUCCAGGUGGUUGCUAGGCAGUUGCUAAGUGGUUGCUAGGCAGUUGCUAACGUUUUCCAAGUGGUUGCUAGGCAGUUGCUAAGUGGUUGCUAGGCAGUUGCUAACGUUUUCCAGGUGGUUGCUAGGCAGUUGCUAAGUGGUUGCUAGGCAGUUGCUAAGUGGUUGCUAGGCAGUUGCUAACGUUUUCCAAGUGGUUGCUAGGCAGUUGCUAAGUGGUUGCUAGGCAGU
Long non-coding RNA from Astyanax mexicanus (Mexican tetra), 464 nucleotides. RefSeq lists it as uncharacterized. Lineage: Eukaryota; Metazoa; Chordata; Actinopteri; Characiformes; Acestrorhamphidae. The transcript has 3 exons. The record is from RefSeq and is a predicted model, not a curated record.